GAUGAAGAACGUAGCGAAAUGCGAUACGUAAUGUGAAUUGCAAAUUCAGUGAAUCAUCGAGUCUUUGAACGCACACUGCGCCCCCUGGUAUUCCGGGGGGCAUGCCUGUCCGAGCGUCAUUGCUGCCCUCAAGCACGGCUUGUGUGUUGGGCCCCGUCCUCCGAUCCCGGGGGACGGGCCCGAAAGGCAGCGGCGGCACCGCGUCCGGUCCUCGAGCGUAUGGGGCUUUGUCACCCGCUCUGUAGGCCCGGCCGGCGCUUGCCGAUCAACCCAAAUUUUUAUCCAGGUUGACCUCGGAUCAGGUAGGGAUACCCGCUGAACUUAAGCAUAUCAAUAAGCGGAGGA
RNAcentral lists this unclassified non-coding RNA (345 nucleotides) under soil metagenome. RNAcentral's name for it is "partial contains 5.8S ribosomal RNA, internal transcribed spacer 2, and large subunit ribosomal RNA". The stretch from base 1 to 119 matches the Rfam family "5.8S ribosomal RNA", at positions 35 to 154 of the family's 154-position model. The record is from RNAcentral.